RNAcentral lists this long non-coding RNA (208 nucleotides) under Elaeis guineensis (African oil palm). Its description in RNAcentral is "long non-coding RNA (EGUI_LNC009994)". The record is from RNAcentral. Lineage: Eukaryota; Viridiplantae; Streptophyta; Magnoliopsida; Arecales; Arecaceae.
UUCAUAAUGAUAUCAUAAAAUUAUUAGACAAUAGUGACAAUCACUAAAAUGAUAUUCUUAGAAUUGAAAAUAGGUUCAACGAUUCCUAAAAUCAGGAUUAGAAUAUAACUUCCAUCUCCAAUGUUCAGGAACUUCUUACUGUUUUUAAACUUUCCACUAUCCUAAAGUUAUUACAAUAAUUUGCAUAGACUUCUGAUAUCCAAUACCC